GAUGAACGCUGGCGGCGUGCCUAAUACAUGCAAGUCGAGCGGACGGACGAGAAGCUUGCUUCUCUGAUGUUAGCGGCGGACGGGUGAGUAACACGUGGAUAACCUACCUAUAAGACUGGGAUAACUUCGGGAAACCGGAGCUAAUACCGGAUGAUAUUUUGAACCGCAUGGUUCAAAAGUGAAAGACGGUCUUGCUGUCACUUAUAGAUGGAUCCGCGCUGCAUUAGCUAGUUGGUAAGGUAACGGCUUACCAAGGCAACGAUGCAUAGCCGACCUGAGAGGGUGAUCGGCCACACUGGAACUGGGACACGGCCCGGACUCUUAGGGGAGGCAGCAGUAGGGAAUCUUCCGCAAUGGGCGAAGGCCGGACGGAGCAACGCCGCGUGAGUGAGGAAGGUCUGCGGAUCGUAAAACUCUGUUAUGAGGGAAGAACAUAUGUGUAAGUAACUGUGCACAUCUGGACGGUACCUAAGCAGAAAGCCCCGGCUAACUACGU
RNAcentral lists this ribosomal RNA (496 nucleotides) under uncultured bacterium. RNAcentral describes it as "partial 16S ribosomal RNA". It matches the Rfam family "Bacterial small subunit ribosomal RNA", at positions 28 to 506 of the family's 1533-position model. The record is from RNAcentral.